Molecule: ribosomal RNA, 525 nt
Filed under: uncultured Dysgonomonas sp.
Lineage: Bacteria; Pseudomonadati; Bacteroidota; Bacteroidia; Bacteroidales; Dysgonomonadaceae
Description: bacterial SSU rRNA
Rfam family: Bacterial small subunit ribosomal RNA
Source: RNAcentral
GAGUUUGAUCAUGGCUCAGGAUGAACGCUAGCGAUAGGCCUAACACAUGCAAGUCGAGGGGCAGCAUAGAGUAGCAAUACUUUGAUGGCGACCGGCGCACGGGUGAGUAACACGUAUGCAACCUACCUACAUCAGGGGAAUAACCCGGAGAAAUUCGGACUAAUACCGCAUAAUACAGGGAUGCCGCAUGGCAAUAUUUGUUAAAGAUUUAUCGGAUGUAGAUGGGCAUGCGUUCCAUUAGCUAGUUGGUAAGGUAACGGCUUACCAAGGCAACGAUGGAUAGGGGAACUGAGAGGUUUGUCCCCCACACUGGAACUGAGACACGGACCAGACUCCUACGGGAGGCAGCAGUGAGGAAUAUUGGUCAAUGGACGAGAGUCUGAACCAGCCAAAUCGCGUGAAGGAAGACUGCCCUACGGGUUGUAAACUUCUUUUGUACAGGAAUAAAAGACAUUACGUGUAAUGUAUUGCAUGUACUGUACGAAUAAGCAUCGGCUAACUCCGUGCCAGCAGCCGCGGUAAUAC